Molecule: ribosomal RNA, 422 nt
Filed under: uncultured bacterium
Lineage: Bacteria
Description: bacterial SSU rRNA
Rfam family: Bacterial small subunit ribosomal RNA
Source: RNAcentral
AAUUGUUCGCAAUGGGCGCAAGCCUGACGACGCAACGCCGCGUGGAGGAUGAAGAUUUUCGGAUCGUAAACUCCUGUCGAAUGGGACGAACAGAUUGCGGGUUAACAGCCCGUGAUCAUGACGGUACCGUUAAAGGAAACCCCGGCUAACUCUGUGCCAGCAGCCGCGGUAAUACAGAGGGUGCGAGCGUUGUCCGGAAUCACUGGGCGUAAAGGGCGCGUAGGCGGCUUCUCAAGCGUGCGGUGAAAGCUCGGGGCUUAACUCCGAGUCUGCCGUGCGAACUGGGAGGCUUGAGUCUGGUAGAGGUCGAUGGAAUUCCGGGUGUAGCGGUGGAAUGCGUAGAGAUCCGGAAGAACACCGGUGGCGAAGGCGGUCGACUGGGCCAGUACUGACGCUGAGGCGCGACAGCGUGGGGAGCAAAC